UACGGGGGGGAGCAAGCGUUGUCCGGAAUCACUGGGCGUAAAGCGCACGUAGGCGGAUGUGUCAGUCAGGGGUGAAAUCCCGGGGCUCAACCUCGGAACUGCCUUUGAUACAGCACGUCUCGAGUCCGGAAGAGGUGGGUGGAAUUCCUAGUGUAGAGGUGAAAUUCGUAGAUAUUAGGAAGAACACCGGUGGCGAAGGCGGCCCACUGGUCCGGUACUGACGCUGAGGUGCGAAAGCGUGGGGAGCAAACAGG
This 254-nucleotide ribosomal RNA is filed under the name uncultured bacterium. Its description in RNAcentral is "partial 16S ribosomal RNA". It matches the Rfam family "Bacterial small subunit ribosomal RNA", at positions 524 to 776 of the family's 1533-position model. The record is from RNAcentral.